Molecule: ribosomal RNA, 497 nt
Filed under: uncultured bacterium
Lineage: Bacteria
Description: partial 16S ribosomal RNA
Rfam family: Bacterial small subunit ribosomal RNA
Source: RNAcentral
GAUGAACGCUGGCGGCGUGCCUAAUACAUGCAAGUCGAGCGAACAGAUGAGGAGCUUGCUCCUCUGACGUUAGCGGCGGGCGGGUGUGUAACACGUGGAUAACCUACCUAUAAGACUGGGAUAACUUCGGGAAACCGGAGCUAAUACCGGAUAAUAUAUUGAACCGCAUGGUUCAAUAGUGAAAGACGGUUUUGCUGUCACGUAUAGAUGGAUCCGCGCCGCAUUAGCUAGUUGGUAAGGUAACGGCUUACCAAGGCAACGAUGCGUAGCCGACCUGGUAGGGUGAUAGCCCACCUGGGAACUGAGCCACGGUCCAGAGUACUAAGGGAGGGCGCAGUAGGGAACCUGACGCAACGGGCGAAAGCCUGACGGAGCAAGGCGGCGUGAGUGAUGACGACCUUCGGAUCGUAAAACUGUGUUAUUAGGGAAGAACAAAUGCGUACGUAACUAUGCACUGCUUGACGGUACCUAAUCAGAAAGCAACGGCUAACUACGUG